This is a long non-coding RNA of Saccostrea echinata, 390 nucleotides long. RefSeq lists it as uncharacterized. The transcript is spliced from 3 exons. The record is from RefSeq and is a predicted model, not a curated record. Lineage: Eukaryota; Metazoa; Mollusca; Bivalvia; Ostreida; Ostreidae.
UUCAAUAACAUGUUUCUCUGUUAAAUGUGCUCUGUUUGUCUGGAUAAUUCCACUUGAACCGUCAGCGGUGGACUAUAACAGAUCAUAAUCGCAGUUGUUUGGUGCAAGACCAUAGAAUGGUACCCAAUUUUGCCUGCCCUCAUUAGUCAUCACAAUAUAAAAGAUUUUACAUUUAGAAGACAAUCCUGCAAAUUUGCAACUGUACAAAUUGCACUUCAUCUCAUCUGCUGCUGGAAUAAAUAAUGAAAGAUUUUCAAACCAGUGUCCAAGAGCCUCCUAGAGUCUGGAAUGAUGGUGUUCUUUAUUAAGGAGAUCAGUGUGUGAUGUAUUUGUUUUCUGUGCAUUGAUGACAUUUGUGAAACUGUUCGGUUACUUUAUGACCAUCUCUCU